Paenibacillus naphthalenovorans is the source of this 287-nucleotide small RNA. It matches the Rfam family "BsrG". Rfam says of the family: bsrE, bsrG and bsrH pair through intermolecular interactions with antisense sRNAs. SR4 interaction with the 3'UTR of bsrG RNA promotes bsrG degradation and inhibits its translation. The record is from Rfam. NCBI's taxonomy places the organism in Bacteria, Bacillati, Bacillota, Bacilli, Caryophanales, Paenibacillaceae.
GGUGACAAUAGAAUAGGCACUCAAGGGCGGUUGGCAGAUCCUCGCAGCUUACCGGCUCGCGUAAAGCGGGCUUGGAAGGAGGUGAUGCCAUGGAAGUAAAGGAUGCGGUAACCAUGAUGUUCAUGUUCGGCAUGUUCAUCCUCGCCUUGCUUUCCUACUUGAAAAAGAAGUAGACCUCCCUUGAGCCUUGGUAGCCAGGAGGUCCAGCAUUCUUGGUUUGACCUUGUGCCGAUCGCCCUUGGGGCAAUCUAUUGUACCCCGGACCGUGGAUGCUGCGAACAUCUUCG